ACCUACCCAUAACAGGGGCAUAACACUGAGAAAUUGGUACUAAUUCCCCAUAACAUUCGAAGAGGCAUCUCUUUGGGUUGAAAACUCCGGUGGUUAUGGAUGGGCAUGCGUUGUAUUAGCUAGUUGGUGGGGUAACGGCUCACCAAGGCGACGAUACAUAGGGGGACUGAGAGGUUAACCCCCCACAUUGGUACUGAGACACGGACCAAACUCCUACGGGAGGCAGCAGUGAGGAAUAUUGGUCAAUGGACGCAAGUCUGAACCAGCCAUGCCGCGUGCAGGAUGACGGCUCUAUGAGUUGUAAACUGCUUUUGUACGA
RNAcentral lists this ribosomal RNA (319 nucleotides) under uncultured bacterium. RNAcentral describes it as "bacterial SSU rRNA". It matches the Rfam family "Bacterial small subunit ribosomal RNA", at positions 124 to 443 of the family's 1533-position model. The record is from RNAcentral.